Sipha flava (yellow sugarcane aphid) is the source of this 1071-nucleotide long non-coding RNA. RefSeq lists it as uncharacterized. The record is from RefSeq and is a predicted model, not a curated record. The transcript is spliced from 3 exons. NCBI's taxonomy places the organism in Eukaryota, Metazoa, Arthropoda, Insecta, Hemiptera, Aphididae.
AUACCUAAGGAAAAAGGGCCCUUGGAUCCAAGAACCGUAGAGUCUAACCAACAUUUACUUUAAUAUAUUAAAAUUAUAUAUAAAGAUGAUAAUUGGGAAGAGAUAUAUGAAAAUUUAUUUCUAUAAUACAUUUCCAAUUUCACAGCUAUUUUAAGCAAAUUUUGUAUAAAAAGCUCACGGAAUGUGCACAGAUUUAGUGAAUCCAACUUGAUUGGAUAAAAGAAAUAUUUGUUAUGCCACCAAUAAUAUCAUUAAUACCAACACCAUCCUCAUUACCAUCAACAUCAAAUGUCGGUAGACCUCAAAAAUUAUUUUCCAAUUGUCUCGAAGUAAAAGACAAUACACCAAUAUUCGUAAAUCAGCUAAGGAACGUAAAGCAAAUAUUUACCCGAGAUACGAUAAUGUUUUAACGCACCUUGUUGAUCACAUUAUACAGAGAAUAUUUUCAAUUUUGGAUAUACAAACCAUAGAUUUAACGAUGAACCAUUACAAAAUAUUAUAUAAAUGGGGAUGUGAUGGAAGCAGUAGUCAAUCUCGAUAUAAGCAAAUUUUUCAUGCAUCUAAUGACUUAGAUGACUCCGAUAUUCUUACAUUUUCACUGGUUUCUUUACAGCUGAGAUGUACAAAGAUAGACAAUCCUAGUAAUGUAGUUUGAUGGAAAAAUUCCUGUCCAUCGUCAACAUAUUGUCAAAUAGUAAGUCAACAUUAGAAGAAAUUAAGUUGUUGAUUCCAACUCAAUUUUUUUAAAAAUGGCAUUGAAUUUCAAGUACAGAGCACAUUAAUGUUCACUAUGAUAGACGAAAAAAUUUGCAAUUCAAUAGCUAGUUCAUAAAGCCAAAAAUGCUACAUCUGUAAGUGUUCUUCAAGUGAUAUGAAUUAUAUUAACCGAGCAAAAAAUUUAAGUGUACCAACAACCUGAGUAUUACAACUUUGGACUGUCAAUACUUCAUGCGUAUAUACGAUUUUUCGAAUGUCUAUUACACAUUUCCUACAGAUUGGAGUUAAAAAAAUGGCAGAUUAGUAUAAUGAUUAACGACUAUAAUGAGCAAUGGCUAUUUUGUAUAAAUGAAA